GUCCCUGUCGUCUAAGGGUCAGGAUUCGAGAUUUUCAAUCUCGCGAUCGGGGUUCGAAUCCCCGUGGGGACG
RNAcentral lists this transfer RNA (72 nucleotides) under Polyangiaceae bacterium. RNAcentral's name for it is "tRNA-Glu". It matches the Rfam family "tRNA". From Rfam's summary of the family: Transfer RNA (tRNA) molecules are approximately 80 nucleotides in length. Their secondary structure includes four short double-helical elements and three loops (D, anti-codon, and T loops). The record is from RNAcentral. Lineage: Bacteria; Pseudomonadati; Myxococcota; Polyangiales; Polyangiaceae.